Molecule: ribosomal RNA, 497 nt
Filed under: uncultured bacterium
Lineage: Bacteria
Description: partial 16S ribosomal RNA
Rfam family: Bacterial small subunit ribosomal RNA
Source: RNAcentral
GAUGAACGCUGGCGGCGUGCCUAACACAUGCAAGUCGAGCGAACGGACCAGCAGCUUGCUUCUCUGAUCUUAGCGUCGGACGGGUGAGUAACACGUGGAUAACCUGCCUAUAACACUGAGAUAACUUCUAAAAACCGGAGCUAAUGCCGAAUACUCUUUUGAACCGCAUGGUUCAACAGUUAGAGACGGUCUUGCUGUCACUUAUAGGUGAUUCCGCGCUGCCUUAGCUGGUUGGUAAUGUAACGGUUUCCCACGGCAACGAUGCAUAGCCGACCUCGGAGGGUGAUCGGCCACACUGGAACUGAGACACGGUCCAGACUCCUACGGGAGGCAGCAGUAGGGGAUCUUCCGCAAUGGGCGAAAGCCUGACGGAGCAACGCCGCGUGAGUGAUGAAGGUCUUCGGAUCGUAAAACUCUGUUAUUAGGGAAGAACAUAUGUGUAAGUAACUGUGCACAUCUUGACGGUACCUAAACAGAAAGCAACGGCUAACUACGUG